Molecule: ribosomal RNA, 440 nt
Filed under: uncultured bacterium
Lineage: Bacteria
Description: partial 16S ribosomal RNA
Rfam family: Bacterial small subunit ribosomal RNA
Source: RNAcentral
CCUACGGGAGGCAGCAGUAGGGAAUAUUGCUCAAUGGGGGAAACCCUGAAGCAGCAACGCCGCGUGGAGGAUGAAGGUUUUCGGAUUGUAAACUCCUUUUGUUAGAGAAGAUAAUGACGGUAUCUAACGAAUAAGCACCGGCUAACUCCGUGCCAGCAGCCGCGGUAAUACGGAGGGUGCAAGCGUGACUCGGAAUCACUGGGCGUAAAGGGCGCGUAGGCGGGAUAGCAAGUCAGAUGUGAAAUCCUAUGGCUUAACCAUAGAACUGCAUUUGAAACUGUUAUUCUAGAGUAUGGGAGAGGUAGGUGGAAUUCUUGGUGUAGGGGUAAAAUCCGUAGAGAUCAAGAGGAAUACUCAUUGCGAAGGCGGCCUGCUAGAACAUAACUGACGCUGAUGCGCGAAAGCGUGGGGAGCAAACAGGAUUAGAUACCCGAGUAGUC